AAAAAAAAAGGAAAAAAAG
This 19-nucleotide small RNA is filed under the name Arabidopsis thaliana (thale cress). Its description in RNAcentral is "ATSL179850". The record is from RNAcentral. Lineage: Eukaryota; Viridiplantae; Streptophyta; Magnoliopsida; Brassicales; Brassicaceae.